GGCAAUCUGUCCGAGUGGUCAAGGAGUACGUCUCGAAAACGUAUAGGCUCUGCCUGCACAGGUUCGAAUCCUGUGGUUGUCG
RNAcentral lists this transfer RNA (82 nucleotides) under Pseudozyma flocculosa PF-1. RNAcentral's name for it is "tRNA-Ser (CGA) (tRNA-Ser-CGA-1 1 to 5)". It matches the Rfam family "tRNA". Rfam says of the family: Transfer RNA (tRNA) molecules are approximately 80 nucleotides in length. Their secondary structure includes four short double-helical elements and three loops (D, anti-codon, and T loops). Further hydrogen bonds mediate the characteristic L-shaped molecular structure. tRNAs have two regions of fundamental functional importance: the anti-codon, which is responsible for specific mRNA codon recognition, and the 3' end, to which the tRNAs corresponding amino acid is attached (by aminoacyl-tRNA synthetases). tRNAs cope with the degeneracy of the genetic code in two manners: having more than one tRNA (with a specific anti-codon) for a particular amino acid; and 'wobble' base-pairing, i.e. permitting non-standard base-pairing at the 3rd anti-codon position. The record is from RNAcentral. Lineage: Eukaryota; Fungi; Basidiomycota; Ustilaginomycetes; Ustilaginales; Ustilaginaceae.